RNAcentral lists this ribosomal RNA (822 nucleotides) under uncultured marine archaeon. Its description in RNAcentral is "bacterial SSU rRNA". It matches the Rfam family "Archaeal small subunit ribosomal RNA", at positions 47 to 873 of the family's 1478-position model. The record is from RNAcentral.
AGCCAUGCGAGUCAUUGUAGUAAUACAAGGCAGACGGCUCAGUAACGCGUAGUCAACCUACCCUAUGGACGGGAAUAACCUCGGGAAACUGAGUAUAAUGCCCGAUAGAACAUUAUGCCUGGAAUGGUUUAUGUUCCAAAUGAUUUAUCGCCGUAGGAUGGGACUGCGGCCUAUCAGUUUGUUGGUGAGGUAAUGGCCCACCAAGACUAUUACAGGUACGGGCUCUGAGAGGAGUAGCCCGGAGAUGGGUACUGAGACACGGACCCAGGCCCUAUGGGGCGCAGCAGGCGAGAAAACUUUGCAAUGUGCGAAAGCACGACAAGGUUAAUCCGAGUGGUUUCUGCUAAAGGAACCUUUUGACAGUCCUAAAAACACUGAUGAAUAAGGGGUGGGCAAGUUCUGGUGUCAGCCGCCGCGGUAAAACCAGCACCUCAAGUGGUCAGGAUGAUUAUUGGGCCUAAAGCAUCCGUAGCCGGCUCUGUUAGUUUUCGGUUAAAUCUGUACGCUUAACGUACAGGCUGCCGGGAAUACUGCAGAGCUAGGGAGUGGGAGAGGUAGACGGUACUCGGUAGGAAGGGGUAAAAUCCUUUGAUCUAUUGAUGACCACCUGUGGCGAAGGCGGUCUACCAGAACACGUCCGACGGUGAGGGAUGAAAGCUGGGGGAGCAAACCGGAUUAGAUACCCGGGUAGUCCCAGCUGUAAACCAUGCAAACUCAGUGAUGCAUUGGCUUGUGGGCCAAUGCAGUGCUGCAGGGAAGCCGUUAAGUUUGCCGCCUGGGAAGUACGUACGCAAGUAUGAAACUUAAAAGGAAUUGGCGGGG